CCAAUUCGAUCUGAUCCCGCUAGCUGACACCUAACAUGUGAAGGGAUAGAUUUUGCUGUGACGUCAUCCACCCAAUUCAAGCCUGAGAUGGCCAACAUCAUGAAGGAUUUCGAUGAGCGGGGGCACCGUACCUUGCCUCGACCGGCCUGUUCCUGGGAGCCACCAAGUACACUGUCAUCCAAGGCAAGCUUGGUGCUGUUAUUCGUGGCAAGAAGGUAUUUAACUGCCCAUCGAACGUCGCAACGCGACUGCUCCAUCCUCUUUGAUCCGAUUCAUUCCCAACUGUUGCUGCCUUUGUUGUUCCCAGGGAUCCGGUCUGUGAGGCCAAUAGUAUCCUUUAUUUAUAUUUUUCAUGUGAGAUCCUAAAUGAAAAUUCACUACUGGAUUUGACUUUGCUGGUUUCACAAACCUAUACGUUUUGAGACAGUCAUGCCAAGGUUUCAUUAUCAGUUCCGUACCCGGCAUAAUACAUAUGUUUACUUUGUUUUUUUGCUGUAUGCAGAUGAAAAUUCUACAUAUU
This 520-nucleotide long non-coding RNA is filed under the name Zea mays. RNAcentral's name for it is "long non-coding RNA (ZMAY_LNC003331)". The record is from RNAcentral. Lineage: Eukaryota; Viridiplantae; Streptophyta; Magnoliopsida; Poales; Poaceae.